Molecule: ribosomal RNA, 301 nt
Filed under: uncultured bacterium
Lineage: Bacteria
Description: partial 16S ribosomal RNA
Rfam family: Bacterial small subunit ribosomal RNA
Source: RNAcentral
CAGCAGCCGCGGGAAUACGUAGGGUGCAAGCGUUAAUCGGAAUUACUGGGCGUAAAGCGUGCGCAGGCGGUUAUGUAAGACAGUUGUGAAAUCCCCGGGCUCAACCUGGGAAUUGCAUCUGUGACUGCAUAGCUAGAGUACGGUAGAGGGGGAUGGAAUUCCGCGUGUAGCAGUGAAAUGCGUAGAUAUGCGGAGGAACACCGAUGGCGAAGGCAAUCCCCUGGACCUGUACUGACGCUCAUGCACGAAAGCGUGGGGAGCAAACAGGAUUAGAUACCCCCGUAGUCCCUGUCUCUUAUAC